UUUCCGUAGGUGAACCUGCGGAAGGAUCAUUAUCGUAUAACCCAGUUACAAGGGCUGUCGCUGACCCCAAACCUCGUGCACGCCCGAGUGCCCUCACACAUCUAUCUCACCCCUAUGUUCACCACCGCAUAGGUCCCCCGUUGGCUUGUUCGUCGUGUGGCUUACGGUUUCACACACACUUUGUAUGAAGUGUAGAAUAUAUUUUUUGUUUUUGUGAUCACGCAAUCAAUACAACUUUCAACAACGGAUCUCUUGGCUCUC
Molecule: unclassified non-coding RNA, 261 nt
Filed under: plant metagenome
Description: partial contains small subunit ribosomal RNA, internal transcribed spacer 1, and 5.8S ribosomal RNA
Source: RNAcentral